GACCAGAUAUCCUAGUGUUUAAAGGCAGCACAUCUAAUGCCAAGGUCCUGGGUUCAAAUCCCAGUCUGGUCA
RNAcentral lists this transfer RNA (72 nucleotides) under Cronartium ribicola 11-2. RNAcentral's name for it is "tRNA-Arg (TCT) (tRNA-Arg-TCT-12-1)". It matches the Rfam family "tRNA". From Rfam's summary of the family: Transfer RNA (tRNA) molecules are approximately 80 nucleotides in length. The record is from RNAcentral. Lineage: Eukaryota; Fungi; Basidiomycota; Pucciniomycetes; Pucciniales; Coleosporiaceae.